This 357-nucleotide ribosomal RNA is filed under the name Glomus sp. rp52. RNAcentral's name for it is "eukaryotic LSU rRNA". The record is from RNAcentral. Lineage: Eukaryota; Fungi; Glomeromycota; Glomeromycetes; Glomerales; Glomeraceae.
AUUGAAGUCAGUCGUACCGACGAGAAAUCAACUUAUCGUGUGCGAACUUGUGGGCGUGCGUGAGUUUCGGCCUCGCUGUUUGCAUGUUUGUGCGUUUUGGGUGUACUUUUUCAUAUGGUAGGCCAACAUCAGUUUCGAUUACUAUAAAAUGACUGGCGGAAUGUAGCUUCGAUUUCGGUUGAAGUGUUAUAGCCUCUGGUAGAUGUGGUGAUUGGAACUGAGGAUUGCAACGAAUAUCCUUUGGGCUAUCCGUCUGAUCUCUGAAAGUUGCUCAGGUGCCGUAAGCAUGCUUACGGUCAUCUAAGUUGACGGUCAAAAGGUUAGAACGUGAUUACAUUCGUUAAGGAUGUUGACGUA